Non-coding RNA from Tetranychus urticae (two-spotted spider mite), 576 nucleotides. The record is from RefSeq and is a predicted model, not a curated record. NCBI's taxonomy places the organism in Eukaryota, Metazoa, Arthropoda, Arachnida, Trombidiformes, Tetranychidae.
AUUGAAAGUGUUGAUUAUAAGGUUGAUUAAUGUUUGUUUUGUGUUUUAUUUUAAGUGUUAAUGUAAAAUUGAAUCUGGUUAACAACAAAAAUUGACCCAAAUUAUUGGUGAAAGAUUUGUAUUAACAUUAAUAAUAAUGAUAAUAAUAAUCAUCAUGAUAAUGGAAGAAGAAGAAGAAGAAGAAUAAUAAAAGAGGUUACUUGUUGUUCUUUGAAGAAAAGCCAAACAAAAUAUUAUCGUUAGAAUGGAUUAUAUUAUAUUAUUACUUAGGUAUUCAAAAUAAUACACACAAAAAACAUCCUCGGAAACAUUUGUCAUUCAUUUCUUCAUCGUCAUCAUUCUCAUCUUCGUCAUCUUUUCAACUGUUGGAGGAAAUAACAACAAACCUAGACCCAAAGAAGACGACCUUUUCAAUGGAGACCUGAGGCCAUUUUUUUUGACAUUGUGUUAUUUGACAAUGAAAACUCCCAAGACUCGAGAUAUUAUUAUAAGUACAAAUAUUCUUGUGUGUUUGUGUAUUAUGUGUGUAUGAAUUGCUUCUUCACCUUAAUAAAACUUGCCCACAAAAAGGUUGAA